This is a long non-coding RNA of Homo sapiens (human), 673 nucleotides long. RefSeq lists it as uncharacterized. The record is from RefSeq and is marked validated. NCBI's taxonomy places the organism in Eukaryota, Metazoa, Chordata, Mammalia, Primates, Hominidae.
AGAGGAAGGAGAGAUCAUGGCGGACGGGAGGCAAGACUAGCCUGCAGCUCUGGACAGAGCAGCGAGUGGGAGCUCGCAUUGUAAACUUUAGCUCCAGAUGGACGGCAAAAACAAACCAGCAAUCCCCAGAGGACCCACAGACCCUCUGAAGGAAGUGGGCUGCUCCUGCAGGACCCGGGAGACCCCCAAAACUGUGAGUGUCCAGCUGCCGAAGUGGGAAAGGGAAACCCUCCUCUCCGGAACAGACACCCCCUGAGAAGUCUAUUUGUGGGAGAAGUUUCCGACUUUACCUGGAGCUGAGUCAGUCUGGAGAGCUGACUGAAAUACAGGGAUAGAGGAGGCAGCAGCAAGGCCCUGGGAGCUGAAUGGGUCCCCGGGCAGCCCAUUCCUGCCUGGCACCACAGGGAUCCAACGGGAGAGGAACAGAGGGUAAAACUACACGGAGAGAAGGAAAUCUCUAGCUGAACUUUGUAACAAUUCGAACAGCGUGAGAAGUCUCCUGGCCAGAACUCGGGGGAGGACACAAAUCUCCUGCACAGUUAAUAUCCAGAGUCACACGUGGAGAGGAAGCAUCACAAUGAGACCAUACAACCAUAUAAUCUGUUCAAGUCCUAGAAGGUGUUGGCAGAGCUGCAGGACUGACCUAGGUCAAUGGCUGUGGGGUAAGGAGAGA